This 497-nucleotide ribosomal RNA is filed under the name uncultured bacterium. RNAcentral's name for it is "partial 16S ribosomal RNA". It matches the Rfam family "Bacterial small subunit ribosomal RNA", at positions 28 to 507 of the family's 1533-position model. The record is from RNAcentral.
GACGAACGCUGGCGGCGUGCCUAAUACAUGCAAGUAGAACGCUGAAGAGAGGAGCUUGCUCUUCUUGGAUGAGUUGCGAACGGGUGAGUAACGCGUAGGUAACCUGCCUUGUAGCGGGGGAUAACUAUUGGAAACGAUAGCUAAUACCGCAUAACAAUGGAUGACACAUGUCAUUUAUUUGAAAGGGGCAAUUGCUCCACUACAAGAUGGACCUGCGUUGUAUUAGCUAGUAGGUGAGGUAAUGGCUCACCUAGGCGACGAUACAUAGCCGACCUGAGAGGGUGAUCGGCCACACUGGGACUGAGACACGGCCCAGACUCCUACGGGAGGCAGCAGUAGGGAAUCUUCGGCAAUGGGGGCAACCCUGACCGAGCAACGCCGCGUGAGUGAAGAAGGGUUUCGGAUCGUAAAGCUCUGUUGUGAGUCAAGAACGGGUGUGAGAGUGGAAAGUUCACACUGUGACGGUAGCUUACCAGAAAGGGACGGCUAACUACGUG